This is a long non-coding RNA of Anastrepha ludens (Mexican fruit fly), 1050 nucleotides long. RefSeq lists it as uncharacterized. NCBI's taxonomy places the organism in Eukaryota, Metazoa, Arthropoda, Insecta, Diptera, Tephritidae. The transcript is spliced from 2 exons. The record is from RefSeq and is a predicted model, not a curated record.
UUAUUAUUUUUUUUUUUUAAACUAGCAAUUAUACAGAUUUAUAAGAUUAUUAAACUUACUUCGCCAGCAAUUCACGCGUUGCCUCAUAGCUGCCAAAGAAGAAAAAGUAGCCGGGCAUUUCGCGCAUAAAAGUCGGCGUGAGACCGCGAAAGAAGCCGGGAAUACCUAACGUAGCGCGCCAAAGCAAACAUUUAUGAUCAUUCUAGUUAAUUUCCAUGGCGUCAUGUGUUCAUUUGCUGGUACUCCAGGACAACACUCGGCUGACUAAAAAUACAUUUAAUAUACUUAAUUUAAUAUUUAGAUUAGAAAAUAAUGGCGAGUGGCGAAUUGCUCGUUGACAUACCUCCCGUAACGCCUGUAAUUUACACUUCACCAACUCCGUCGGACACAGCGCGAAUGUGGAGAAGAAUGCCGCAAAGAAACCGGCGAACGCAUUUUCUGUUGUAUUCAAUUGGUUGGUGUGUUGUUUUCCCACAAGACAUGCGACAAACGACUGACAACCACCAUACGCCGCAAAUAGCACUGAAUUCUCAGCAACAUUGGCUACUACAGCGGGCACGCUGCCCGCAUACAGACCAUGAACGAUGCCGUCCUUUUUGUAGGUAUUCACAAAGCAAUCGAACAUAUUUUUGUAGAGAAAUGGAAAAGUUUGUUGCUUCACCUUGACAGUGUCCAGUGGCUGGGAGACAUAUACUUGCGCCGCACCACCUUGAGGAAAAGGAAAGAAAAAAUGUAUAAAUAAAUUGUCAAUAGAAAUUAAAACCAUUUGAAAAAAAGCAAAGGAGAGCUCAGUAUCCGGACAAUUGACGUGUCAACAACUAAAGGGGUUUCCAAUAAGAGGUGUUAUUGUGAUAUUCAAAGAAUGGUUUCGUUGCUUGUGUGGCACGUAGCGCGUUUGUUAAAAAUAAACGAUUUCUAGAUCAUUACCAUCCAAUUACAGCCAUAAAAAAUCGUUAAUCAUAUCUCGAUAGCGCAAUCCAUUCACCGUAACUGUUGCUCCAGCUUCAUUUUCGAAAAAGUAAGGCCCAUCCGCAAACUGGGCUUUGAGGG